AGUAAAUGAAAUCAAAGGAGAAGGUUGCUGAUCAAUUUGCAAGCUUGCGAAGAUCAUAAAAAUUGGUACCUGCAAGAACAACUUUCAGUCAUUUUCUAUGCGGCCUUUCAAGAACCUUGCUGAAACUGAACCUUCAGUUCUUGUCACUCAAGACAUCUAGGGUGGAAAAACUUGGUUCUUCUCCAGGCGUGCAUGAUAUAAUAAGUCAUAAUGUUGCUGACAUGAAGAAAUUAUUUUAGUUUCUUAUUGGCAUUUGGAUACGUGCUGUCUGAAUAUGUUAUUCCUUCCAGAAUAUGCUAUAUGAAAAGAAAAAUGAUUUAUUGACGAAAUAAAGCUUAUGAACUUGAUAUGACCAUAAGGAUUUAAUAAAUCACUUUUGGCUUCUUUCAUUUACAAAGAACCAAGUGGAUCUCUCGGUGAUAUUUUUAAACUAGGUUUGCCUUUCAGUCUAAUAUAUAAUCCUGUCCUUCAGAAGAACGUACGGAAAUUUUCUUUUACUCCAAUUCUGUUUUGGUUUCAAGAGUUACGAGAUAACGAUAUUUCUUCACGCGUAUACGAGUACUAGUACAUGAAUCGCUUGUUAAAUAUAUAAUAUAAUGCCAGUUUGUUGACACGGUUAAGGUAACUAUGGGUAUGAACUGCGUUUCUAUUUUCUGGAAAAAAAAUUUAAGACUAGUUUGCCUCGUCAUUUACUCUGUUUUCAUUGUAGUUGGCCUCUGAAGAUGAAUGGAGAAUCUAGUCAGUUAAUGGAAAAUGGAUAUGAGGACACACAAAAACGGAUACUACAAAGCUAACCUGUCUACUCUAUGAAGUACGGAUAGCAAAGAAGUAAAGCAGUCGACAAUGCAGACUAGACAACUCCGCAGAGAGAGACAGGAUCCUGCUCGUGCUGAAAGCAUCUACAAGAACAAAAAAUGAAUAUGAGAAUAAUGGAGCUGUGUAAGUUCUUAUUUGGCCUCGCUUGUGGUAAUAACUUUGCUACUCCAAUGAGUAUCUACGACGCUCUAAUAAGAGGCUUCAGCAUCUAUUACAGCAGAAUAUUUUGGGGGUCUUUCUGAUCAGCUACGCAAAUAGAGGCUUCUGCAUCUGUUACAGCAGAAUAUUUUGGGGGUCUUUCUGAUCAGCUAGACAAAUAGAAUCUGAAUUAACUGAUAUGUAAUUCCCUUUAGUUAAGGUUAUCAUGUGACAAUAAAUUACCAAUCUCGAAAGUUUGUACAACCUUUACCCUGCAAAUAGUGCAUAUGCAAAAUUCUUUUAGCC
Molecule: long non-coding RNA, 1260 nt
Organism: Ananas comosus (pineapple)
Lineage: Eukaryota; Viridiplantae; Streptophyta; Magnoliopsida; Poales; Bromeliaceae
Exons: 2
Source: RefSeq, a predicted model, not a curated record